Long non-coding RNA from Poecilia latipinna (sailfin molly), 774 nucleotides. RefSeq lists it as uncharacterized. NCBI's taxonomy places the organism in Eukaryota, Metazoa, Chordata, Actinopteri, Cyprinodontiformes, Poeciliidae. The record is from RefSeq and is a predicted model, not a curated record. The transcript has 8 exons.
UAACGCGGCCUUUAAAUACUCCUGUCGCACAUCGUGAGGUUCUCUUUUCUUCGUCCGCUGACUUGCGAAAGUUUUGGUCAAAGUACGAGCAAUGAGUAAAAGUUCAGAGCUGGACCAUCAUGCCAGUGAACCUCCCAGUCACCGACUGGUCCACAUCUGGUGCUGGGAUGACCUUUAACCCUUAACCCAUCAACCUCGAAGCUCUUAGAUGUAAUCUUAUGCAUAAGCCAGCUGGGUUCAUCCGUCGGCCAUCUUUAACGAGGUCUUUGUGUCUCUGAGGUCUAUCCCGACGGGCCCUUCAUGUAGGGCCACGUCGUUGGAAAUGCCUCAAAGAGGAAAUCUGUGGUUUCGCUUUACCCAGGUGUUCUGCUGUGAGCAUUAUGGGAUACAACUGCAGGACAACAACAUGAGGACAAGCUUCAGAAAGACGGAUUAUCGGCCAGAUUUAACAGAGACGUGUGUUUCAGGUCACAGGUGUGGCAGAAAUGACCCAGACGGCGUCAGAAUGCAAGAUGGCGGCGGGAUGAUUUGCUCCUGGGGCUGAGCAUCAUCUGAUGAGAUCCAGCUUUUCUGGUUCAGCUGAAGCAUGGAUGUUGUAAAGUGAAGUUUAAACAGGGAUUCUGUCACAGUCGUGGACCAGCUGAGGGGAGUUUGCUUUGAUGCAUCAUCAUCUCCAGAUUAAAACUAAAUGAAUAUUUCUUGUUCUAUAUAAACUUUAGUAAUUUGUAAGCAGAUUUUUCUUUUGUACAAAAAUAAAUAUAAGAUCAAAGAAUC